GCCAGCAGCCGCGGUAAUUCCAGCUCCAAUAGCGUAUAUUAAAGUUGUUGACAGUUAAAAGCUCGUAGUUGAAGUUUCGGGGUCAGUAGAUUGGUCGUGCCACUGGUAUGUACUGGUCUUACUGAUUCCUCCUUCUUGACGAACUGUGAUGUCAUUAAUUGGUGUUGCAGGGAAUCAGGACUGUUACUUAGAAAAAAUUAGAGUGUUUAAAGCAAGCUAACGCUUGAAUACAUUAGCAUGGAAUAAUGAAAUAGGACGUUUGAUCCUAAUUUUGUUGGUUUCUAGGAUCGACGUAAUGAUUAAUAGGGAUAGUUGGGGGCAUUAGUAUUCAAUUGUCAGAGGUGAAAUUCUUGGAUUUAUUGAAAGACUAACUACUGCGAAAGCAUUUGCCAAGGAUGUUUUCAUUAAUCAAGAACGAAAGUUAGGGGAUCGAAGACGAUCAGAUACCGUCGUAGUCUUAACCAUAAACUAUGCCGACUAGGGAUCGGAUGAUGUUAAUUUUUAAUGACUCAUUCGGCGCCUUACG
This 526-nucleotide ribosomal RNA is filed under the name uncultured Glomus. RNAcentral describes it as "SSU rRNA". It matches the Rfam family "Eukaryotic small subunit ribosomal RNA", at positions 566 to 1092 of the family's 1831-position model. The record is from RNAcentral. Lineage: Eukaryota; Fungi; Glomeromycota; Glomeromycetes; Glomerales; Glomeraceae.